AUGAAGACUAUCUCAUUGAAAAGUAGAACAAAUGCAUUUAUUGAGGAUAUACGGACCGGUUUACAUCUAGUUAUUUUCGGUAAUGUUAGGGAAAAUACCAAAAAAAUAUAUCAAUUAUUUUUAAUUUAUACGUUUAAUAUUCAAUUAUUUUUUGUUGAAAGAUUAAUACAUAAAGUAAUAAAACUGUGUAAUUUAAUAUCCAAACCAUUAACUGUUGUUAUUUUCAUUCUCACGAUCUUACAACAAAAAUAAAAUUUCAAUUUUACCUUUACCAUCUCAAUUUUUUCUAGAGGUGGAUCUAUCAGUCCAACCGUCUAUGUCUCUCCAGGGAAUUCACGAAUCGAUCGAUCCAGAGGUGGAUCGAUCGAUCCCACCGUAUAUGUCUGAAACGUUGAAGUACGGACCGAUCGGUCCAACCGUCUAUGGCCGAUUUGUUGUAGCCUGGACCAAUCGGUUUACCCCGUCUUCUCUCCGCUUCAGCUUUUCUCGUUCUUUCUCGACCCGAAUAAACUCAAAACUAUCUAAUCCAUUCACAAGUACCUAAAACCUGCAAAAGACUCAAGACUUGAUCAAAAAGACGUAAAAACGGACUACGACAUGAUAAAUGACUCAAAACGAAGGUUAGACAAGAGAUCUAAGACACCAAAAACGCAACAUAUCAAUAGUCUUAUCACUUAUGUUACCAUGAAAUAAACAUAUAAUGUAGUUACAAACUUACAAUGUUUUUUAGAUGAUUACUAAUGUACUGGAAUUUGUAUAUCACAAUUCUUUUAAGUUAUUCAAGGCACUAGUGGAGAAAGAUUCAAGGCACUAUUGGAGAAUGCUUUUCUCUCAAAUUUGGCUCAUUUUAUAUUGACAAUGGAGGCAAGUAUCUAGCACUGGCAAACUUCCUUGCAUAUCACGGCAUCAACCAUUACA
Molecule: small RNA, 918 nt
Filed under: Arabidopsis thaliana (thale cress)
Lineage: Eukaryota; Viridiplantae; Streptophyta; Magnoliopsida; Brassicales; Brassicaceae
Description: ATSL287290
Source: RNAcentral